UCACUAGUGAUUAGAGUUUGAUCCUGGCUCAGAUUGAACGCUGGCGGCAUGCCUUACACAUGCAAGUCGAACGGCAGCACGGGAGCAAUCCUGGUGGCGAGUGGCGAACGGGUGAGUAAUAUAUCGGAACGUGCCCAGUCGUGGGGGAUAACGUAGCGAAAGCUACGCUAAUACCGCAUACGAUCCACGGAUGAAAGCGGGGGAUCGCAAGACCUCGCGCGAUUGGAGCGGCCGAUACCUGAUUAGCUAGUUGGUGGGGUAAAGGCCCACCAAGGCGACGAUCAGUAGCUGGUCUGAGAGGACGACCAGCCACACUGGAACUGAGACACGGUCCAGACUCCUACGGGAGGCAGCAGUGGGGAAUUUUGGACAAUGGGCGCAAGCCUGAUCCAGCCAUUCCGCGUGAGUGA
RNAcentral lists this ribosomal RNA (410 nucleotides) under uncultured bacterium. RNAcentral describes it as "bacterial SSU rRNA". It matches the Rfam family "Bacterial small subunit ribosomal RNA", at positions 1 to 408 of the family's 1533-position model. The record is from RNAcentral.